This is a long non-coding RNA of Homo sapiens (human), 1145 nucleotides long. RefSeq lists it as uncharacterized. The record is from RefSeq and is a predicted model, not a curated record. NCBI's taxonomy places the organism in Eukaryota, Metazoa, Chordata, Mammalia, Primates, Hominidae. The transcript has 3 exons.
CCAGCAGCACGAGUAUAGGAGCAAAGAAGGCUGGCUCCAUUUACGAUCAGUUUUUCCAGAUGCGGAAACCAUCAUGAGGGAGUGGAUAAGGGGACUGUGAACUGUUCGCUGGAGUUAAGGCCUCCAGCCCCAUCCCAAAGCCAGCACUGCUUGAGCCUCAGAGGAGAGAUCCAUGUAGCCACCACUGAGAACUUCAGACCAGAAGAGACAAGCAGAGAUACUGCAACGCACUCAUCCAGAGCAGAGGAACCCUAUUUUGAGUUUACCUAUAGGACCUUAUAACAGGCAAACAUAUGAUGUCUUCAUAGUAUUAGAAAUAAUGAAAUGAAGGACUAUAUCAGUGACCUCCUGAAAGGUUAACUGGAAAUCUCAGGAUUAAUCUUUCUCAUUUUCUGUUAAAAUGCAAAUCCCCGGGUUGGAAUAAUGAUUGAACAUUGUUUGUUAGUUACACCUUAAUGAAUGGGGUUAUUAGGGUUUAAGAGAAUGAGGUCAUUGGGGUUUAUUAAACCAUCAAGGGAGAGAACUAAGAGGGGACCCUGAGAUGCCCAGUAAGGCAAAUAUUUGGAGAUAAGUUUCAUUUCACCCCUACUUGGCCUCCACAAGGCCUGCACACUUAAAUAUUGGUUUGAGAGAAUUCUGAAGUCAGAGUGGCAGACCAUGCUGGUCACACCCAAUGGCCCGAUCCUGCUACAGGAACACAAUUUCACUCAUGAGUGGGACACCCCCUGACUCUGGCUACAGGGGAAGAGCACGGUUCCAUGCCAUUUCCCUUUGCCAGUGAUUGUUUCGGUGAUGAAUGUGUAAGCCAUUUCUGGCCAAUGGGAUAUAAGGGCGUUUAAUCUCACCCCUCUCUUGUAAGGAGAGGAGGAACUUCCUUCUUCACUCCAGCCUGCCUCCACACAUGGUUCUGUGAAGAUGUAACAUUUGGUUUGUGACAGCCAUCUUGUGACCACAAAGAAAAACCGCAAUAAGCCUUGGCAUCACCACGGGGCUGAAUUAACCCACCCAGGGGCCCCUGACCUCUAGACUUCUCGUUAUGAGAAAUGAUAAAUCCUAUUAUUUAAGCAACUACAGUCAGGCUGUUUUGUUCCUUGAAGCAAAGGCUUAUCCUGAUGCAUCCAGAGGUGUCACAGUGCGAACAGGCA